UCUGUCAUACAGGUAAGCGAUAUCGAUCAUCAAUCAAUUAUUGUAAACCAAUGGACAACCAAUCAUUAUUGGUGAAAUUGAUUUUUUUUGUAAACAGAUAUUGAUGAAUGCGUCAGUCACCCAUGUCAGAAUAACGGAUCAUGUAUAGAUCUGAUUAACCAGUUCCAGUGUCAAUGUGUUCCAGGAUUUACGGGCAUACUCUGUGAAACAGAUAUCAAUGAAUGCGCCAGUAAUCCUUGUGUUAAUAUGGGUACCUGUAACGAUCUUGUGAACCAAUUCACUUGUUCCUGUCGAGCCGGAUUCACCGGAACGUUAUGCGAAAUUGACAUUGAUGAAUGCGCCUCGAGUCCUUGUUCCGUUUUCUUUGACUGUGAGGACCGUGUGAAUGCCUACUACUGCAAGCUGAUUAUAUGGAAAGUGGCCCUAAUCGUCUCUAGUAUUGCUUUAUUUAACUUGUUAGUAAUCUCCAGAGUCAUAUUCUUAGUGAAACGGCGAAAAUACAGGGAUGUUGACCACACUUGGUUGUCAAAUUUUAUCAACAUCGGUAAACCGGAUGUUCAAACAAGAGUUAUAUGAGUAG
Molecule: long non-coding RNA, 580 nt
Organism: Ostrea edulis (European flat oyster)
Lineage: Eukaryota; Metazoa; Mollusca; Bivalvia; Ostreida; Ostreidae
Exons: 4
Source: RefSeq, a predicted model, not a curated record